This 328-nucleotide ribosomal RNA is filed under the name uncultured eukaryote. RNAcentral's name for it is "partial 18S ribosomal RNA". It matches the Rfam family "Eukaryotic small subunit ribosomal RNA", at positions 1470 to 1796 of the family's 1831-position model. The record is from RNAcentral.
CCCUUAGAUGUCCUGGGCUGCACGCGCGUUACACUGAUGCAUUCAACGAGCUUAUAACCUUGGCCGAGAGGCCUGGGCAAUCUUGUUAACGUGCAUCGUGAUAGGGAUAGAUUAUUGAAAUUACUAAUCUUGAACGAGGAAUUCCUAGUAAACGCAGAUCAUCAAUCUGCAUUGAUUACGUCCCUGCCCUUUGUACACACCGCCCGUCGCACCUACCGAUUGGAUGGUCCGGUGAAGCCUCGGGAUUGUGGUUCUUGCCGCUUUAUUGUGGCGUGACCGCGAGAACUUGUCUAAACCUUAUCAUCUAGAGGAAGGUGAAGUCGUAACA